Molecule: ribosomal RNA, 118 nt
Filed under: Candidatus Faecimorpha stercoravium
Lineage: Bacteria; Bacillati; Bacillota; Clostridia; Eubacteriales
Source: RNAcentral
AACGGUGACGAUGCGCUUAUGGGAAACACUCGUACCCAUCCCGAACACGAUAGUUAAGCCAUAAGCGGCCGAUGGUACUUGGCGGGGGACUGCCUGGGAGAGUAGGAGGUUGCCGUUU